AACCAACACACAACACAACAAACAAAAAAGAAGGAACCAAGACUGACUACAGAAAAACAAUAAUGGUACAAACAAGUCUUAAAACACUGGAGACAUUUAUUUUGCUGAAACAUCUGUCACUCAGUUGUCAGGUGAGAGUUCAGCAGUUCUUUUCCUAAGAUCACUUUGAAAAGAAGGGGCCAAUAGGGCCAGAAGGACUUGGCACAACUCACAUUCCUCUUCAUUUUUCCCAUUAUCCAAUACAGAAUCAGUAAGUAAGCAUUUUUACAAAUGUUGUACCAGGAAAAGCUCUAAUGAGUCCCUGAUGCCUACCAUCCCUCCUACACAUUCAGGUAGUCUACAGAAAGUUAAGAACAACCCAAAUCUUGCUUAAGCCCUUGCUUUCCAAAAGGCUUGUAUUCCCUAGCUGCUAUUACUAUAUCAUGUCAAACCGAUAGCUUCACACGAGAACCUAUUCUCAAGUCCCCCAAAUCAGAACAGGAUGCAGCAGCUUAUCAUUCUUCCAUUAUGAACCAACUUUCCAGUGCUCUUUCAGACAUUCAGCAGCUAUCUAGUUUGUAAGUCUGCUAUGCCUUCCUGUCCCUUCAAGUACACCCAUCACUACCACAGCCUGUUUUGUGUGUGUUCUUCCCCUCUGCGCAAUGCAGUAAAGCAAUAUAAACUAACCUGGCUAUUAGGGCUUGUGUAGUUUCCUCUUAGCUUUCUGGAGGUCAACAUGUCUUUUUUUUAACCUCCUCCUCAUUAUUUAAAACAAUAAAGCAAUAUGAAGAUUACAUUUCCAGUACAAAAUAAAAGUUGUAACUAUUUUGCAAAGAUGCCUCAUCUAUUUGAUCACCUUUCCUUGCCUUUGAUGGUUCUUGUUGCCCACACACUUUCUAGUUCUUCUACCUUUCGAGAUCUGUUUUUGCAGAUGACAGGGAUGGAAACUUUGUUGAUGACAAAAGGAAUACCAUAUAUAAUCAUGUAAUUCCAUAGCACAUUUUCUAUUUUACUCCCUGUAAUUCUCAAAAUUCCAUAUGCUUGUUCCCCACCAAACACUGAUACCACAUUUUCAUAAUAUAACCUAUCAUGACUUCAAGAUCUUUCUUGAACACUAAUAGCUCAUUUGGGGUACUCAUUAUAUGUGCUUUUCACCAAUUAUUAACCCAUGGGAGGACCGUCCUGUUCUAUGACACCUCAGUUUCUUUAAAAGGUUGAUUAAGGACCUUGAUAAUCAAGGGGGUUUUGUUGUUAUUUUUAAGAAAUCCAAGGACAUCGCACUGAUUAGAUAGCCCUUAUCCACAUGGUUGUUGACUUUUUCAAGGCAUGACUUUGAAAAGACGUAACCUCAUAACUUCCCUUUUCCCCUCCUUCUAGAAAAGCCCUGUUAACUCCUGCCCAUUAUCACGUUUGUCAGUAUGUCUACUACUUCUGUUACAUGCUCAACCAAUUUGCCUAACAGAAGUCUGACUUACUCAUCUGCAGUUAUCUGAGCCCUUCAGAAACUGGUGCAGGAGACGCGGCCUUCUAUCCUUCUGGUACUACACAAAUUAUACAUAUACUGAGUUAGCAGGACAGAGGUACCAUUGGCAAUAGCUUCUAGCCAUACUUCAGCAGGACACUUUCAUGAAGAACAGUACUGCCAUGAGACUCUCUCGCAUCAUCUUGAUCAUCUUAUUCUUCAGAUGCACUCAGAGACUUCAUCCUUCUGGUAUGGGAGACCUCAUGAAAUCUCACCAUGGAGACUGAAAGAUAAGGAAGGCAGAUCUUGGAGAAGACUUAAGUUCAUUACUCAACAUGACAACCUAGUAUAUAGAAAUAAUAGUAAAGAUGUGCCUUUGAAGACUUUGAAUAAUGAAAUCCCAAAAGCUCACUAGAGUGUGGAAUAAUCUCUAGAAGACUCCAGAUCUUCACACAAUUCAAAUACAGGUGCACAAUCCCUGAAGCAGAGACAGAAAUCAAUCCUGUUUUGGACAGCAGUGAAGCACAGCUCAGAAUGUCAUCUAUAGCCAAGAUGGGAAAUAAUGCACAGGAAGGGAGAAUUUCAGAGCUACAGAAAGCUGGUAUGGCAGUCAGGACACAACCAAAGAAGUUGAGGGAACUCCUCAACCUACCUAACACAACUAUCACUGACCAAGAGGUAACAAAAGAAACAUCCUGGAACAAGGACGUAUCAUACCAACAUCAUAACAAGGAAAGUUUUCUGUAUGAAUUAAUGGGGUAGGCUUCCACCUCUUUACCUCAAAGCAUCAUGACAGCAGGAAACAGUGUACUCACACCCACUAACCUGUCUCAGCACAGUGACCAAUGCAAUGCUUGACAACAAUGUAUUUCAACCCCAACACUAGAUACAGGUGAAAUGGAAAUCCAAUGCCAAGCAGUUCCCUCAAGAACUGUUUACAGUAUUUUCUAUGCAUUUUGCUUUACAAAAUCUACCCUAAAUUACUGAGUCUGAACCGUUGCCUCCUUGCAAGUGCAAGGAGUCUUGAAGACACAGGUAGGAUAAAUAGAUGAGUUUAGAGGAUCCAUUUGAAGUGCCUUUUAUCCAGUCCACAUCACCUUCAAAAAAAUUAUUCCUUACCACAAAAGCAUCAACUAGACUAGUUUCAGAUUAUUAGAUCUUAUAUACAUAUAUACACACACACAGAGUAUGUACAAAGGGCAUACUUGGAAGAUCUGGGAGAGAGGUAACAAUUACAUCCUAGGAGCAGAUUCCUCAGAUGUCACUCCUGUGAGACUGCAGUUCUUACUGUCUCUCUCGCAAACACCAUCGAUAUUUUAUGUUUAGUUAGUUAUAUGCUAAUUUUCAGUAAACACAACUCUUUUUGAGGGUGUCAACCUACCAUAAGCUUUGACAACAUACAAGAUUAUUAUCUAUAGUUGUGGGUCAAGUCAAGUAAAAACACCUCUGCUUAUUGAACAAGUCACAUCACCCUGUUAAAACAACAAACAUGCUUACACAGCAAUUCUGAGCACUUUUACAAAGACAUCGAUCUUCCCCAGUGUGCAGUACUACUGAGUUCUUAAGUAAUUUCUUAGACUAACUCAGAAUUUUAGGUGAUUCUUAUCAUCCUUAGAUAUGACUAGUAAUGCUUCAGCUAUUACAAACCAGUCUUUCCAAGUCUGUGUUGAAAAAAGCUGUGGUCUACCUGUAAACUUCUUACAAGCCUUUUCAGACUUUUCAAAAUAUCAUUCAUAAUUGCAGCAACAGUUUUAUUUCCUGAGCUUGAAGUUAGAUAAUAAUAAUUCAAUUUACCUCAGCUUCAAUAAUACACAGGCAUUUUAUAACCAAUGUUCAAGCAUGUAUCUGUUUGCUAAAGCAUGAAUCACCGGCUGUGAAAUAGAUCUAUUUCUGUUCCAGAGGAAUUACGCCAGCCACUGCCAAAAAUCAGGGAGUUUGAUCUUGCAAAUAAAAUUAACAUUACAUUGCAAAAGUUUGUCAUAAAUAAGAACAAGAAAAUCUCACAGUUAGACAGUGUUGAAAUGUAAGAGUCUAAAUACACCUCAAAAAAUUACAUACUAAAUACAAAAAAAUACAUAUACAAUUUUUUGUCAGUUACCAAAGCUGAAAUUAAAAUAAAACUAGUUCUUUUAUGCCUAUAAAAUGUGAAGCCUUAUUUUAAAGUGUAAGAGGUGGAAAGAGCUGAAGACAUCUUUUAAAAGCACUUUCUAGUUAUGUACCAAUAAUGCCACCUACUGGCAUGACAGAAGAUCCAAAUUUUUAGAGUAACUUUAAUUUAAGAGUUUUAAUUUCAAUACAACAUUAAAUACCAUUGUUUGUUUUUUUCCUUUGCACUUAGCUAAAGCAGAUAAUUUCUUUCACCCAAAUUUCUUCACAAGCAAGGGCCAGGAACAGAAUUGAACAGUGUUGUAUUUAAUACUACAGUAUCAACACUAAUCUGAAUAAGCAAGGACCAGAACGUAGCAGUGUUCUUCAAAGUGCAACCUCCCAGCACAGCAGAAUUUCCCAGUCUCUAAAAUUCACUGCAAAGUAACUUUUAGAUGACAGAAACUUGUAAGUUCUACUGCUUCAGCACCUAUUAAAAAUUCUUCCUAUCCUUCCAACCCAUAUAUAUUUUCUAACGCUCAAAAUUAAUUCUGAUUAUAAUUAUCACUCAAAGUCUAUGUCCAGGAUGAAUUUUAGCAUUUUCAGGUUUAAACAAUUAGUCAGGUUGACAUCCAAAACAAAGCCAGGAUGUAUAUAUUUUUUUAACCCUAGAAUGGAAAUGAACUAAAAUAACAAUUAAAAUAUCCAAAUGAGAUUAUCCUUGCUUUGUAACCAAGGCAGGCAAAAAGCAAACAAUUACAAACAGGUCACUUUGGAAUUUUACUCCACAAUUAAACCACUCUCUUAAUCUGUUUUCAAUGAAGUAAUUUAGAGUAGAAUAAAGUAUUUUCAGUUCGAAGGGACCUACGAUUGUCUAGUCCAGCUGCUUGACCAAUUCAGGGCUGACCAAAAGUUAAAGCAUGUUAUUAAGGGCAUUGUGCAAAUGCCUUUUAAACACUGACAGGCUUGGGGCACCAACCAGCUCUCUAGGAAGCCUGCUGUGUCCAGUCCAAACCUCCUCUGGAGCAGCCUUGAGCCAUUCCCACCUGUCACUGGGUACCAGGGAGAAGAGAUCAGCACCUCCCUCUCCACUUCCCCUCCUCAGGAAGCUGUAGAGAGCAAGGAGGUCACCCCUCAGCCUCCUUUCCUCCAGAUUAGACGUGCCCAAAGUGCUCAGCCACCCCUCAUAGGACAUUCCUUCCAGCCUUUUCACCAGCUUUGUUGCCCUCCUCUGGACGCAUUCAGGGACCUUCACCUCCUCCUUCAAUCGUGGGGCCCAGAACUGCACAGUGCUGCAGGUGAGGCCGCACCAGCGCUGAACGCAGCGGGAUAAUCAUCUCUCUUGGCCGGCUGGUUAUGCUGUGUUUGGUGCACCCCAGGAUGCUGUUUGCCCUCUUGGCUGCCACGGCACGCUGCUGACCCAUACUGAGCUGCUCUCAGCCAGCACCCCAAAAUCCUUUUUAUUAUUGCCAGAGAAGGGAUAGAGCUGUAAAUCACAACAAUCUGGGUGCCCUUACAGCUUUUGUUGACUUGACCUUUGAAAUUUUAUAAGCAUUGCUUCUGAUUACAAUUUGAGGGUUUACAGAGAUUAAUUUAAGUGCAAUUUCUACAAAACCCAUACAGAAUAUAGGGUAACAAGCAAAGGAAAGGGCCCUGUGUAAUGAUGUUCUCAGCAACAGAGGCUUUAGGGGGAAAAAAUGCAACUGGGUAUUAUUUUGGAAUGAACCAAAGAAAACUUGUAACUGCUUCCAAUGGAUUUAGCAUUCCUCCACAAUGUCACAGGUGAAGCUGACAGCAAAUAAACCAGCACAGGACAAGCAGCAGAUAUAAAACCAAGUGGCUUUACUAGAGUUCAUCACUGAGAGGACAACUGGAUACACAGCUACUUUUUGCUGUGCAUGUUAACUCACUAGCAGUCACUAGCAAAGCUGCAUUUUAGAAGCACCUGGCACUGCUCAGGAUUUCCUUACAGGAAAAAACCUCUCUUCUCAGACACUCUCAGCACACUACAUUGCUGCUUCUUUCCUGAACAGGGUUAAAGCAGAAAACCAUCUUUCUGGUUACCCAAGUUCAUGAAAACUUUCAGUCAUACCUGUACCAAACCAAACCAUGCUAGAACAAAUCUGGUGAUUUGUGCCGCUUAAACACUGCCAGACUACCAGCUCCACAGACCUUGCACUUAACAGGAAAGCUGCACGAAGAUGUAAAUGUCAAUGUCACUCGUCAUACUUCCAGGAGAAGUCUGAGCCUUUCAACAGUACCACCCUGGAGCCAAACAUAAUCAAAACCCUCUUUAACGAUAAGUUUCCUCAUCCAAGGACUGGCAAAUACUCAAGUAGUAAACAAAUAUAUCCCAAACAUAUGCAUUUGCAUCCAGAAGAAAAACUAAUUAGAUAGUGCAUUUUCUGAAACCUUUUUAAGAUCUGGGAAUCAAUAUAGCCUUAAAUCAAAUAGGGGCUGAUAUAACUGGUGUGUCAUUCCACUGAUACUUUCCCAAGAUGUGACUUUAAGAAUCAGCCUUCUAGACUAAAUUCUCAGUAGGGAAAGAACGGAACUAGGCAGAGAGAAAAACCUUCCUUCAGUGAGCAGAGCUAACAGUGUCAUCUUAAUACAAGGGAAAACUUGCACCUUGCUUGAUCAGCUCCACGGCAUGCUGUUUUUUCAGGACUAAAUGGGGUGUUACACUACAGUAAUGGAAAUACACACGAGUAUCAGAAAACACAGGUGAAUUUAUAUCCAACUUCUUCUGGACAUUGCACAAGCACUGGAGGAAGCACACACUUCCAGCUCAUUUCUACCACAUAUAGACUGGUACUUCUUAUUCCACACUAAAGAUGUUUUCAAAGAAACACUUCUAGAAUGAUACUUCAUAUACAUGACCAAUUUACUCAAAAUUACAUCCAUUAUAAACUUUUGUUUUGUUUACUAUUGUCUCCUCUUAAAACAAAGUCAGUCUCUGCUUUAAAACAGAAUUCUUAAUCAGAAGCUCAUGGUUGAGACAUGGUCUCUCCAAAGUGAAUUAGGCUGAAGUAUGUCCCCACUAGCUGAAAUAAAAAAGGCUGUCUAUGUUGGUACUUGUUUCUGACCGUGAAUUUUAGCAGAUAAUCAGGAAAUGAAUGCAGUGAUAGGACUUCCACACAGGGAUAAUUUCCUAACAUACCCUCUUCUCUCCCAGAUUUGACAGCUUUAGGACUUUUGAGCAAGAGGUUGUUCAGUGUAACUGCUGAGCAAGAUGAGUGAUGUCUCCUUUUCAACAUUCAUCUAAGAAACAACAGCUACAUACCCUAACAAAACUCAGUCUAAAAAUAACCUAUUCGCAGUUCCCAGAUUUCUAUCAGUGCAGAUUAAAAAUUUACAGAAGUCCAUUCGCAGCCUAUUCUGAAAGCAUUGCAACAAAGCUGUUCAGGCUGUAAGAACUGUUGCAUAAUACCCUGUUUUGGCCAUAAAAGUCAACCUUUGCUUAUCUUUCACAGUUGAUUCAUAUACCUGCCACUUAGUCCUGUAUUCACCUUACAGACCUUUGAUGAAGUGUUACACAACAAUUUCAAGACAAAUAUUCUGCUCUUCCUCCCAAACCAUGUUUUUGCAAGUAUGUCCUUACUACCCAGCAGACAAGUCAUUUUUUAUCUUCUACCACCCCCUCAAAACAUUUAUUCCUCUGACAGCUGAGCUCCUGCUCCUUUCACAGCUGACUGGCAACAUGUGGAAACUGAACCAAGUCCCGAGUUUCUUGUUGAGGCUGCAUUCUUAAUUUGCUGAGUCUCUCAAAGUUGGAUUUUCCAAAAAGAUGCUGGAAUCACCCUCUGGUAUCACUAAUCCAAUGACCCCGGGUGCUGUGAGAGCAUAGGGAGAAGAAACUUCAAAAAGCAGCCAGACUCCUGCAUUCUCCCUGAAGAGCCUGCCCUAUUACUGUUGUUGGGGCAGCAGACUGGGCUAAGCAAACCACUCAUCUGACACAGCAGGGAGAUUUGAUCCCAUAUAAAUAAUAAAAUGUAUUCUCAGACUCCUCGUGAUUGACUUGCUACCCCCAGAAAAGACUCCUACCUUUUAAGAAAUACAAAUCCAAAGGAGGGGGGAGAGAGAGAGAAAAAACAACCCUGAAAAAAAAACUUUCAAUGGUUACCACCAGAGAAGAAGAGAAAUAGGUUUUUCCUGACCUCCUUUCAACUCUAAGUAGUAUACCACACGCACUUCUGCUACCUUAUGGAAAACUUACUCUGUGUUUUGUAUCUAUUGCUGUGGAC
Molecule: long non-coding RNA, 7770 nt
Organism: Falco peregrinus (peregrine falcon)
Lineage: Eukaryota; Metazoa; Chordata; Aves; Falconiformes; Falconidae
Exons: 3
Source: RefSeq, a predicted model, not a curated record